This 497-nucleotide ribosomal RNA is filed under the name uncultured bacterium. RNAcentral describes it as "partial 16S ribosomal RNA". It matches the Rfam family "Bacterial small subunit ribosomal RNA", at positions 28 to 507 of the family's 1533-position model. The record is from RNAcentral.
GAUGAACGCUGGCGGCGUGCCUAAUACAUGCAAGUCGAGCGAACAGACGAGGAGCUUGCUCCUCUGACGUUAGCGGCGGACGGGUGAGUAACACGUGGAUAACCUACCUAUAAGACUGGGAUAACUUCGGGAAACCGGAGCUAAUACCGGAUAAUAUAUUGAACCGCAUGGUUCAAUAGUGAAAGACGGUUUUGCUGUCACUUAUAGAUGGAUCCGCGCCGCAUUAGCUAGUUGGUAAGGUAACGGCUUACCAAGGCAACGAUGCGUAGCCGACCUGAGAGAGUGAUCGCCCACACUGGAGCUGAGACGGCGACAAGACUACUGAGGGAGGGUGCAGUCUGGAAUCGUCCGCAGAAGGCGGGAGCUUGACGGAGCGGCGCCGCGUGAGUGGUGACAGUGCUCGGUGCGUAAUACUCUGCUAUGAGUGAAGAACCAAUGUGUAAGUAGCUGUGCCCGUAGUGACGGUACCGAAUCAGGAAGCCACGGCUAACUACGUG